Regulatory RNA element from Ahrensia sp. R2A130, 223 nucleotides. NCBI's taxonomy places the organism in Bacteria, Pseudomonadati, Pseudomonadota, Alphaproteobacteria, Hyphomicrobiales, Ahrensiaceae. The record is from Rfam.
UGUGUCGCAUCUGCAAGUGGUCUGCCGCGUGCGCUUUACGGUGCACUGGCGGAGCAAAAGGGAAUGUGACAGGGCUGACCCAAGUAGGGGGCCUUCAACCACAGCCGACCCCGCGACUGUAGCGGUGAGGUUCCUCUCAUAUCCACUGCCGUUCAUUCGGCGGGAAGGGGAGAGGCAACCUGUGAUCCGUAGCCAGGAGACCUGCCAUCUGCACCGGUCGAAG